AUUGAACGCUGGCGGCAGGCUUAACACAUGCAAGUCGAGCGGGGGAAGGUAGCUUGCUACCGGACCUAGCGGCGGACGGGAGAGUAAUGCUUAGGAAUCUGCCUAUUAGUGGGGGACAACAUCUCGAAAGGGAUGCUAAUACCGCAUACGUUCUACGGGAGAAAGCAGGGGAUCUUCGGACCUUGCGCUAAUAGAUGAGCCUAAGUCGGAUUAGCUAGUUGGUGGGGUAAAGGAAUACCAAAGCGACGAUCUGUAGCGGGUCUGAGAGGAUGGGCCGCCACACUGGGACUGAGACACGGCCCAGACUCCUACGGGAGGCAGCAGUGGGGAAUAUUGGACAAUGGGGGGAACCCUGAUCCAGCCAUGCCGCGUGUGUGAAGAAGGCCUUAUGGUUGUAAAGCACUUUAAGCGAGGAGGAGGCUACUUUAGUUAAUACCUAGAGAUAGUGGACGUUACUCGCAGAAUAAGCACCGGCUAACUCUGUGCCAGCCGCCGCCGUAA
Molecule: ribosomal RNA, 501 nt
Filed under: uncultured bacterium
Lineage: Bacteria
Description: partial 16S ribosomal RNA
Rfam family: Bacterial small subunit ribosomal RNA
Source: RNAcentral